GGUCUUGUGGUCUAGUGGUAUGAUUCUCGGUAAGACUAGCUCCCCACAAUUAAUCUUAAAUAUAACACUAACAAUCAACCAGCUUAGGGUGUACCCUGAGUAUAAAUUGCGAGAGGCCCCGCGUUCGAGUCGCGGCAAGACCC
Non-coding RNA from Delitschia confertaspora ATCC 74209, 143 nucleotides. The record is from the annotation of a GenBank genome assembly. NCBI's taxonomy places the organism in Eukaryota, Fungi, Ascomycota, Dothideomycetes, Pleosporales, Delitschiaceae.